Molecule: ribosomal RNA, 274 nt
Filed under: uncultured bacterium
Lineage: Bacteria
Description: partial 16S ribosomal RNA
Rfam family: Bacterial small subunit ribosomal RNA
Source: RNAcentral
AUACGGAGGGUGCAAGCGUUACUCGGAAUCACUGGGCGUAAAGCGCGCGCAGGCGGCUUGAUAAGUUGGAUGUGAAAGCCUACGGCUCAACCGUAGAACUGCAUCCAAAACUGUCAGGCUAGAGUGUGGGAGGGGAAGAUGGAAUUAGUUGUGUAGGGGUAAAAUCCGUAGAGAUAACUAGGAAUACCAAAAGCGAAGGCAAUCUUCUGGAACACUACUGACGCUGAGGCGCGAAGGCGUGGGGAGCAAACAGGAUUAGAAACCCUAGUAGUCC